GUGGGUGUAGCUCAGCCGGUAGAGCACCUGGUUGUGGUCCAGGGGGUCGCGGGUUCGAAUCCCGUCACUCACCCCA
Molecule: transfer RNA, 76 nt
Filed under: Pseudonocardiaceae bacterium
Lineage: Bacteria; Bacillati; Actinomycetota; Actinomycetes; Pseudonocardiales; Pseudonocardiaceae
Description: tRNA-His
Rfam family: tRNA
About the family: Transfer RNA (tRNA) molecules are approximately 80 nucleotides in length. Their secondary structure includes four short double-helical elements and three loops (D, anti-codon, and T loops). Further hydrogen bonds mediate the characteristic L-shaped molecular structure. tRNAs have two regions of fundamental functional importance: the anti-codon, which is responsible for specific mRNA codon recognition, and the 3' end, to which the tRNAs corresponding amino acid is attached (by aminoacyl-tRNA synthetases). tRNAs cope with the degeneracy of the genetic code in two manners: having more than one tRNA (with a specific anti-codon) for a particular amino acid; and 'wobble' base-pairing, i.e. permitting non-standard base-pairing at the 3rd anti-codon position.
Source: RNAcentral